RNAcentral lists this ribosomal RNA (446 nucleotides) under uncultured bacterium. RNAcentral's name for it is "partial 16S ribosomal RNA". It matches the Rfam family "Bacterial small subunit ribosomal RNA", at positions 338 to 795 of the family's 1533-position model. The record is from RNAcentral.
CCUACGGGCGGCUGCAGUCGAGAAUCAUUCACAAUGGGGGAAACCCUGAUGGUGCGACGCCGCGUGGGGGAAUGAAGGUCUUCGGAUUGUAAACCCCUGUCAUGUGGGAGCAAAUUAAAAAGAUAGUACCACAAGAGGAAGAGACGGCUAACUCUGUGCCAGCAGCCGCGGUAAUACAGAGGUCUCAAGCGUUGUUCGGAAUUACUGGGCGUAAAGCGUGCGUAGGCAGUUUCGUAAGUCUUGUGUGAAAGGCGCGGGCUCAACCCGCGGACGGCACAUGAUACUGCGAGACUAGAGUAAGGGAGGGGGAAGCGGAAGUCUUGGUGUAGCAGUGAAAUGCGUAGAUAUCGAGAGGAACACUCGUGGCGAAGGCGGGUUCCUGGACAUUAACUGACGCUGAGGCACGAAGGCCAGGGGAGCGAAAGGGAUUAGAUACCCUUGUAGUC